CACAAUAAGCAUAUGAAGGCUGCACCGCCAACAGGCGGCAAGGCUGGAGUAUUUUAUUACCCUUGUCUUUUGCGCACUUGUUGUUUCCUGGGCGGGUUCGCCCGCCUCCAGGACCACAUGAUAAACCUUUUUUAUGCAGUUGCAAUCAGCGUCAGUACAACAAAUGUAAAUCAUUUA
RNAcentral lists this unclassified non-coding RNA (177 nucleotides) under soil metagenome. Its description in RNAcentral is "partial internal transcribed spacer 1". The record is from RNAcentral.